This 352-nucleotide long non-coding RNA is filed under the name Carica papaya (papaya). RNAcentral describes it as "long non-coding RNA (CPAP_LNC010806)". The record is from RNAcentral. Lineage: Eukaryota; Viridiplantae; Streptophyta; Magnoliopsida; Brassicales; Caricaceae.
AUCUUUUUUACAUAUUUGAAAAGCACACGUUUUAAUUAAAAUCUGCUACCGUGUGCGACUCUUAUCCUUGCCCAAGGCUAAGUUGUUUGGGACAGGACCCAAGCUUCGCCCAAGGCUUAUUUCUGGGCUGACGACUCUUUUCACGAACUCUUCUUCUUUUCAUGUUGUUUUUGCUCGUUUCGUCCUUAUAUCCUUUACUGCAACAAAAAAUAAAAAAUUAAUUGGAUUCGAUAACAAACCAUCAAGUUUAAUAACCUAAAAGUGGGUGAUAAUGAUGUUGUUUUUAGGUACUAUCAAACUCCCCCACACUUAUCUUGUUCUUGCCCUCCAGUACUACACAAUAUACUCCAUC